Molecule: ribosomal RNA, 1256 nt
Filed under: metagenome
Description: bacterial LSU rRNA
Rfam family: Bacterial large subunit ribosomal RNA
Source: RNAcentral
CAGCAUCAGACCGUACCCUAAACCGACACAGGUGAUUGGUAGAGUAUACCUAGGCGCUUGAGAGAACUGUCUUGAAGGAACUAGGCAAAUUACUCGCGUAACUUCGGGAUAAGCGAGCCUCUGUAAUGGGCAACCAUCUCAGAGGGGCACAAACCAGGGGGUAGCGACUGUUUAUCAAAAACACAGGGCUCUGCGAAGUGGCAACACGACGUAUAGGGCCUGACGCCUGCCCGGUGCCGGAAGGUUAAGAGGAGAAGUGCAAGCUUCGAAUCGAAGCCCCGGUAAACGGCGGCCGUAACAAUAACGGUCCUAAGGUAGCGAAAUUCCUUGUCGGGUAAGUUCCGACCUGCACGAAUGGCGUAACGACUUCCCCGGUGUCUCCAAGACAGACUCAGCGAAAUUGAAUUCUCCGUGAAGAUGCGGAGUACCCGCGGCCAGACGGAAAGACCCCGUGCACCUUUACUAUAGUUUUGCACUGGUACUAGGCAUUGGAUGUGUAGGAUAGGUCGGAGGCUUUGAAGCUCGGGCGCUAGCUCGGGUGGAGCCAACGUUGAAAUACGACCCUUUUGGUGACUGGUAUCUAACCGCAGCCCGUAAUCCGGGUUCGGGACAUUGCAUGAUGGGUAGUUUGACUGGGGCGGUCGCCUCCGAAAGAGUAACGGAGGCGCGCGAUGGUGGGCUCAGGCCGGUCGGAAAUCGGCUGAUGAGUGCAAGAGCAAAAGCCCGCCUGACUGCGAGACCGACGGGUCGAGCAGAGACGAAAGUCGGUUCUAGUGAUCCGGUGGUUCUAAGUGGAAGGGCCAUCGCUCAACGGAUAAAAGGUACGCCGGGGAUAACAGGCUGAUACCCCCCAAGAGUCCACAUCGACGGGGGUGUUUGGCACCUCGAUGUCGACUCAUCACAUCCUGGGGCUGGAGCAGGUCCCAAGGGUUUGGCUGUUCGCCAAUUAAAGUGGUACGUGAGUUGGGUUCAGAACGUCGUGAGACAGUUCGGUCCCUAUCUACCGUGGGUGUUGGAAGCUUGAGAGGAUUUGCCCCUAGUACGAGAGGACCGGGGUGAACGUACCUCUGGUGUACCAGUUGUUCCGCCAGGAGCAUCGCUGGGUAGCUAUGUACGGACGGGAUAACCGCUGAAUGCAUCUAAGCGGGAAACCCACCUCAAAACCAGGCUUCCCUGAGAACCGUGAUAGACCAUCACGUUGAUAGGCCGGGUGUGGAAGCGCCGCGAGGCGUGCAGCUAACCGGUACUAAUUGUUC